This 99-nucleotide signal recognition particle RNA is filed under the name Dysgonamonadaceae bacterium. RNAcentral's name for it is "signal recognition particle sRNA small type". It matches the Rfam family "Bacteroidales small SRP". Rfam says of the family: The non-coding component of the signal recognition particle in Bacteroides Lineage: Bacteria; Pseudomonadati; Bacteroidota; Bacteroidia; Bacteroidales; Dysgonomonadaceae. The record is from RNAcentral.
GGGUAAGUCCUGUACGGUCUGCUCCCAUCUAAUCCCCCAGGGCUUGACAGCAGCAAGGGUAAAUGGUUGUAGCGACGCGAUACAGUAAGCUUACCCUUU